GACGAACGCUGGCGGCGUGCCUAAUACAUGCAAGUCGAACGCAGUGGGGACGGGUGAGUAACACGUGGGUAACCUCCCAUCAGAGGGGAUAACACUUGGAAACAGGUGCUAAACCGAUACUGAUGGAUGGACCCGCGGUGCAUUAGCUAGUUGGUGGGGUAACGGCUCACCAAGGCCACGUUGCAUAGCCCGCCUGGGAGGUGGACCGGCACAACUGGGACGGAGACCCGGCCCAGCCUCCUACGGGAGGCAGCAGUAGGGAAUCUUCGGCAAUGGACGAAAGUCUGACCGAGCAACGCCGCGUGAGUGAAGAAGGUUUGCGGAUCGUAAAACUCUGUUGUUAGAGAAGCGGUAUCUAACCAGAAAGCCACGGCUAACUACGUGCCAGCAGCCGCGGUAAUAC
This 403-nucleotide ribosomal RNA is filed under the name uncultured bacterium. RNAcentral describes it as "partial 16S ribosomal RNA". It matches the Rfam family "Bacterial small subunit ribosomal RNA", at positions 28 to 526 of the family's 1533-position model. The record is from RNAcentral.